GGGAAAACAACUGUGGUGAACUUGUUCUCUCUGAAGGAAUGGCACCUCCUCUUAGCGCAGCUGAAAGACAGCGGCAUUACAGAGAAUGACAUAAUGCUGACCCAGAAAGAAGGAGAGAGUAUCUAGAGAAAAAGAGGGAGAAAUGGAGGAAAGAUAAAGAGACAGGGAAGAAGAAGGCAAUAGCUGGACUCAGUGACAGAGGGCAGUGUGCAGAAAGGAAGAGAUGGAGAGAUUCAAAAAGAAUACUCAGAGCCAGGGCCAAGGCUAGUGCGUUGCUGCAAUCUGCAGAGAUGCCUGCCUUAGAUGCCAUUAAAGGAACAAUGAAGAUUCAUCAGGUUGUCAGUGUCUCACCAGGCCAGAUAAAAUACAGGGACAUUACUUGUCUGUGCAAGGAUAGUGGCAUGUUGGACUGUCAUUGUUUUCAGCUCAAAGAGGCAACUCUGGGUGACCAUGCAGCAUCUAACCAGCUCCCUGCAUCUCAUGACAAGGCUGACACCACAUGGCGACCUGGCACCAUUGAACUUAAUCACGUAGGGGAGUGGUGUGUUGUCAAUUAUGACCAUGAACGAUACCCUGGCAUCAUCAUGGACAUAAAGGAACAUAACAUCUGGUCAAGUCCAAAGGAAGAUAUUUGUUGGUACUCUGAUGGACAGAUACUUUGUCUGAUGCCAGAGCCACAGGCAGUUAAUAAACGCUCUGUGCAGAUGGAAAAAUAA
Long non-coding RNA from Oncorhynchus tshawytscha (Chinook salmon), 716 nucleotides. Lineage: Eukaryota; Metazoa; Chordata; Actinopteri; Salmoniformes; Salmonidae. The record is from Ensembl.